AUUGAACGAUGGCGGCAGGCCUAACAAAUGAAAGUCGGACGAGUGGCGGACGGGUGAGUAAUGUCUGGGAAACUGCCUGAUGGAGGGGGAUAACUACUGGAAACGGUAGCUAAUACCGCCUAACAGCGGAUGUGCCCAGAUGGGAUUAGCUCGUAGGUGGGGUAAAGGCUAACUUAGGCGACGAUCCCUAGCUGGUCUGAGAGGAUGACAAGCCACACGGGAACUGAGACACGGUCCAUACUCCUACGGUAGGCAGCAGUGGGGAAUAUUGCACAAUGGGCGCAAGCCUGAUGCAGCCAUGCCGCGUGUAUGAAGAAGGCCUUCGGGUUGUAAAGUACUUUCAGCGGGGAGGCGUUACCCGCAGAAGAAGCACCGGCUAACUCCGUGCCAGCCGCCGCGGUAAUUC
RNAcentral lists this ribosomal RNA (406 nucleotides) under uncultured bacterium. Its description in RNAcentral is "partial 16S ribosomal RNA". It matches the Rfam family "Bacterial small subunit ribosomal RNA", at positions 30 to 526 of the family's 1533-position model. The record is from RNAcentral.